Molecule: long non-coding RNA, 1429 nt
Organism: Gordionus sp. m RMFG-2023
Lineage: Eukaryota; Metazoa; Nematomorpha; Gordioida; Chordodea; Parachordodidae
Exons: 3
Source: RefSeq, a predicted model, not a curated record
UGUAAUUGUGAUAUAAAGAUUUCUUAUUUCAAAAAAUAUUUGAUCUAAUGGAUUAAGUAGUUAAGGAUAUUCCACAAAGAUGCCUGCCAUUUGUUAUAAAAAUACCCUUGUACAAGAGGAUAAUAUCUUGGUGAAAGUGCCUAUGUUCAGACGCGCAAGCACCGGGAUAAAUCUUACCCUUCCCCCCAAUUAGAAAAAUCAGAUGCCGUUCCCAACUCAAUAGAACUCAUAAACCUUUACCCGAUAGCAAAUUUUUUUAAUGGAAUCACACAAAUUUCAUCCAACAAAAAUUUGAUGAAGAAUUUCAUAAGAGACGUAGACAGUCAAUUAUGAAAAAAAUGGGAGGAUCUUCGUUAAGAUCUUUAUUUAAGGCAAAGGAUAGCAAUAGCCACUCUUAGAGCCAAUUAUGUUUGUUUUAAAUUUUAUUAAUGAAUAGUAUUCUCUCAAGUAAAUAAAUAUCCUUGUUUAAUAAAGCUGAUAAAAAAUUAUUAUUGAAUUAAUAUAUUUUUAUAAAUUAUAGUUCAAUAAAUAUAUUGAAAUACUAAUAUUUCUAUUAAGAAAUAAGAUUCUUUAGGUUCUGAUGUAAGAACUCUUAUCUUAUCCCCUAUAUUUUUUAAAAACUUUAAAGUUCCACUUGGCAUAUGUCCAAGGGAAGAGAUGACAAUCGGUGUAAAAAUAUAAUUUGUGAAUUUGGAAUAUUUCAUUGUUUUUUUUUCUCGGCUAUAUCAACCGGAUUAGAAUUUAAAAUAUAAUUACACAUGUUUUUUGGGAACUUGUAGUCCCACCUCGGUUUUUAUAUAAUAUUUUAUUUAUUUUAUUUUAUAUUAUUUUAAUUUAGUAUUUUAACGCUAUGUAUUAUUUUACACGAAAGGAAAAAAUAAAGAAUUAUUAAUAUUUCUAUUUAUAGCUAACAAAUAAAAAAUCAAAAAUUAUAUUAAAAAUUUUUUUUUAUACUAAUUUAUAUUAUUUUGAUUUUUUUAAAAAAUUUUCAUCGCUACAAAAACUUUGGAUUGGAUUUAACUAGGUAGAGAUAGUGUUGUUAACAAGACACAAUUCGCGAACCCUACUCAAAAUUUAGGUCGAUUUUUCUACCUCGACCCAAGUAAUAGCUAAAGGUAGAUCUCGACUUAAAAUCUGGAUCGCUUUUUUUUUUGAAUUUGACUUAAAGUUUGGGACGGCUUUAUUACCAUUUUGACCCAAUGUAAUGGUCGUUUUUCAAACUCGUCGUAAAAUAUAUAUUCUAUUUUUUUAAUCUGACCCAAAGUUGGUGUCUUUUUUCUUUGGCCCGACUCAGAAUUCGAACCUAGCUCAAUUAUGGUAUAAAUUUUAUAUUUCUAAUUAAGUUUAUAAAAUGAAUAUAUAUCUAUUUUGAAUGGGUUAAAUUAAAUAAAAUAUAGGUUUUGGAAGAAAAUGAAUCACGAGCAUUUAA